GACGAACGCUGGCGGCGUGCUUAACACAUGCAAGUCGAACGGAAAGGCCCUGCUUUUGUGGGGUGCUCGAGUGGCGAACGGGUGAGUAACACGUGAGUAACCUGCCCUUGACUUUGGGAUAACUUCAGGAAACUGGGGCUAAUACCGGAUAGGAGCUCCUGCUGCAUGGUGGGGGUUGGAAAGUUUCGGCGGUUGGGGAUGGACUCGCGGCCUAUCAGCUUGUUGGUGGGGUAGUGGCUUACCAAGGCUUUGACGGGUAGCCGGCCUGAGAGGGUGACCGGCGACAUUGGGACUGAGAUACGGACCAGACUCCUACGGGAGGCAGCAGUGGGGAAUAUUGCACAAUGGGCGGAAGCCUGAUGCAGCAACGCCGCGUGCGGGAUGACGGCCUUCGGGUUGUAAACCGCUUUCGCCUGUGACGAAGCGUGAGUGACGGUAAUGGGUAAAGAAGCACCGGCUAACUACGUG
RNAcentral lists this ribosomal RNA (468 nucleotides) under uncultured bacterium. RNAcentral's name for it is "partial 16S ribosomal RNA". It matches the Rfam family "Bacterial small subunit ribosomal RNA", at positions 28 to 507 of the family's 1533-position model. The record is from RNAcentral.